Molecule: ribosomal RNA, 541 nt
Filed under: fungal endophyte
Lineage: Eukaryota; Fungi
Description: eukaryotic LSU rRNA
Rfam family: 5.8S ribosomal RNA (bases 227-380)
Source: RNAcentral
GGAAGUAAAAGUCGUAACAAGGUCUCCGUUGGUGAACCAGCGGAGGGAUCAUUACUGAGUUUACGCUCUACAACCCUUUGUGAACAUACCUAUAACUGUUGCUUCGGCGGGUAGGGUCUCCGUGACCCUCCCGGCCUCCCGCCCCCGGGCGGGUCGGCGCCCGCCGGAGGAUAACCAAACUCUGAUUUAACGACGUUUCUUCUGAGUGGUACAAGCAAAUAAUCAAAACUUUUAACAACGGAUCUCUUGGUUCUGGCAUCGAUGAAGAACGCAGCGAAAUGCGAUAAGUAAUGUGAAUUGCAGAAUUCAGUGAAUCAUCGAAUCUUUGAACGCACAUUGCGCCCGCCAGCAUUCUGGCGGGCAUGCCUGUUCGAGCGUCAUUUCAACCCUCAAGCUCUGCUUGGUGUUGGGGCCCUACAGCUGAUGUAGGCCCUCAAAGGUAGUGGCGGACCCUCCCGGAGCCUCCUUUGCGUAGUAACUUUACGUCUCGCACUGGGAUCCGGAGGGACUCUUGCCGUAAAACCCCCAAUUUUCCAAAGGU